AAGUGAUCGUGUGUGGGGGGAGGAGGAGAGUUUAUGCGCGCGCGCGCCUCCUCCUCCCCACCGCCAAUCUUGUGUGAACCGUUAUUCUGUGGUGUGUGUAUGCGUUGGUGUGUGAUGUGUUUACAGCACUCCCACCAGCAUCACAAACACAAUAAUCUCUCUUUAACCUUUGUCUAACAUGAUGUACCCACAAUUCAAAA
RNAcentral lists this unclassified non-coding RNA (200 nucleotides) under soil metagenome. Its description in RNAcentral is "partial internal transcribed spacer 1". The record is from RNAcentral.